AUUGAACGCUGGCGGCAUGCCUUACACAUGCAAGUCGAACGGUAACAGGCCGCAAGGUGCUGACGAGUGGCGAACGGGUGAGUAAUACAUCGGAACGUGCCCGAGAGUGGGGGAUAACGGAGCGAAAGCUUUGCUAAUACCGCAUACGAUCUACGGAUGAAAGCAGGGGACCGCAAGGCCUUGCGCUCAUGGAGCGGCCGAUGGCAGAUUAGGUAGUUGGUGGGAUAAAAGCUUACCAAGCCGACGAUCUGUAGCUGGUCUGAGAGGACGACCAGCCACACUGGGACUGAGACACGGCCCAGACUCCUACGGGAGGCAGCAGUGGGGAAUUUUGGACAAUGGACGCAAGUCUGAUCCAGCCAUUCCGCGUGCAGGAUGAAGGCCCUCGGGUUGUAAACUGCUUUUGUACGGAACGAAAAGGUUUCUAUUAAUACUAGGAGCUCAUGACGGUACCGUAAGAAUAAGCACCGGCUAACUACGUGCCAGCAG
Molecule: ribosomal RNA, 489 nt
Filed under: uncultured bacterium
Lineage: Bacteria
Description: bacterial SSU rRNA
Rfam family: Bacterial small subunit ribosomal RNA
Source: RNAcentral